This 250-nucleotide unclassified non-coding RNA is filed under the name plant metagenome. RNAcentral describes it as "partial contains small subunit ribosomal RNA, internal transcribed spacer 1, and 5.8S ribosomal RNA". The record is from RNAcentral.
GUAGGUGAACCUGCGGAAGGAUCAUUAACACGUAUCCACGUAUCAACCAAACGGUAACUGUACCUCCCUGGUAAUUGUUGAGCUGUUUAAUUGAGUCAUGGUGGGUAUGCAUUCGUGCAUACGACUCGGUUCGACUAGGGCUUCGAGCUCAAGGCGCAACGCUUUAUCAGGCUUUUCUUUCCCAUCAUACCUUUCCAUCUUAAGGUACGACGAGAAUCUAACCAACCUAUUUAACCCUACUUAAUACAUU